This 940-nucleotide long non-coding RNA is filed under the name Equus caballus (horse). RNAcentral's name for it is "lncRNA (ENSECAG00000059665.1)". Lineage: Eukaryota; Metazoa; Chordata; Mammalia; Perissodactyla; Equidae. The record is from RNAcentral.
GUACUCCUAAUCUUUUGGCAUCCAGGGCAAUGCCUUUCAAAGGAGGGCAUCAAGUGAACCUCAAGUUUAUUUAAAGCGUAAGCUUCCUUGCAGGUGUGUAUAAUUAUACCCCAACUCCAAAAUGCGGUUCCGAUGAGAGGGCGUGCCGGGUGCACGCGGGCAGCAGCUUGUCCUGGGAGGUGUACUAGCUUCCUGUGGCUGCAAGUUACUACAAACUGGGUGGCUGGAAACAACAGGAAUUUCUUCUCUGACGGUUCUGGAGGCCAGAAGUCUGAAAUCAAGGCGUUGUCAAGGGGGCCGCCAUUCGAUCCACUACGUGAGGCAGUAAGAAGCAUAUUCCCGAAGGAAUUGUUGAAAUAUUGACGGACUUCAGAGCUCCGUGAGCUGGGCGGACUCACAUGGCUGGUGUCCAUGCUAUCCAACUGUCAAUGGCUCAAAUCUAAAGCCAAUUUGUUUCGAGUACAACUUGUGGAGUCUAUGUUCCAGAAAGUCUGAAGAUAUUUAGAAUCUAGGAAUCAAAAAUUCACAUUAAAAGAUAUGUAUUCUCUCCCAAGUGUUCAUUUUUAACUGUCUCAGCUAUGGCCUCUCACGGAUGGAAUCUUCUUUUGUCUUUGCAUCUUCCAUACCUACCUCAUGGCUUGGUAAAGAGUAGACAUUACUUCAUUUCUUUGCACUCUGAUGAAGUUCAAAAUCAUGCAAAGGCAUCAGUGACUAUGUCUCCCAAAGAGCUUCGACAUCAGACCCCUGGGUCUUCCCAAUCUCUGCCCUGCUCAACCGCCUCAAUAGCUCCCAUGUGCUCUUGGCCUUGUCUCGUUCCAUGAAUGAUCGCGUCCAUCACAUACCCAGAACACGCAUGAUCUGCAAAGUUUGCCACCAAACAGUCGUGUGGGUGGAGGAGCAAAUCCAUAAGGAGGAAGAACGUGGCAGGGAGAGAUGAGAG